AAGUCGUAACAAGGUUUCCGUAGGUGAACCUGCGGAAGGAUCAUUACCAGUUUUUUCUGGCCACCCGUGACAAACUACCUUUGCUUGCCUUCGGGCAAUUUUUACUCUGAAUCAGUUUUCUGAAUUAAGACAAAAUACAAAAAACUUUCAACAAUGGAUCUCUUGGCUCGA
Molecule: unclassified non-coding RNA, 171 nt
Filed under: fungal sp.
Lineage: Eukaryota; Fungi
Description: partial contains small subunit ribosomal RNA, internal transcribed spacer 1, and 5.8S ribosomal RNA
Rfam family: Eukaryotic small subunit ribosomal RNA (bases 1-46)
Source: RNAcentral